UUGAAAGGGAAACGAUUGAAGUCAGUCGUACCGGUGGGUAAUCAGCCUUUCGGCGUGAUUAUGUGGAGCGUGAGGAGUCAAACGCCCUCAUGCCUGCAUAUUCGUGUUCUUUGGGUGUACUUACCCGCAUGGUAGGUUAACAUCAAUUUCGAACGUCAUAAAAUGGUUGGAGGAAUGUAGCUUCGAUCUCGUAUUGAAGUGUUAUAGCCUUCGGCAGAUGUGAUGAUCGGGAUUGAGGAUUGCAACGGAUACCCUUCGGGCUACCCGUCUGAUCUCUGAAAGUUACUCUGGUGCCGAAAGCUCGCUUACGGUCAUCAAAGUUGACGUUCAACAGGUUAGAACGGGAUAAAUUCGUUAAGGAUGUUGACGUA
RNAcentral lists this ribosomal RNA (371 nucleotides) under uncultured Glomeromycotina. RNAcentral describes it as "LSU rRNA". Lineage: Eukaryota; Fungi; Glomeromycota. The record is from RNAcentral.